GAAGCUACAGUGUCAUUCUCGCUGUAGCGAAAAUGCAUCCUCGCUGUAGCUAGUUUUCGCCAACCUACCCCUCCAAAACUCGAGAGUUUCUCGCUACAGCGAGAAUGAUUUUCGCUGCAACGAGAAUAAUUUUUGCUGUAGCGAGAAACAGGGCACCAAUGCAAAAUUUGCCCUUCUUCCCAAGGAAAAACCACCCUGCUGAAAUGUCCAUACCAACAUGAAACACAUAACAAUUUCCCAAGGUUUAACAUGUCAAGUUUCACAUGCAUUACAACCAUAUACCAUUACCCAUUAAUUUCCUAUAACACACAUAUUUACAUAUGUAUAUAUGUAUACAUAUAUACCCAUCAUCAUCAUCACACCAUCCCAUCAUCAUCAUCACCAGCUCAUAUGCACUCCCUACUCGCACAUGGUUGGGUCAUCACCGGGUUAUGCGCACUCCCUACUCGCACAUAAUCGAGUCAUCCUCGGCUUAUGCGCACUCCCUACUCACACAUAGCCGAGUCAAUAUAAUUACACAACACUAUAUUCAAACAUAUAUGUAUAUCAACAUAAUGUAGUCGCAUAGAAAUCCAUAAUAACCACAUAUCAUAACAUAAACCAUUUCUCAAGAGCUUGUUCCGAAGGCAUUCAUUUUUUAGAGAAGUUGUAUAAAAUCAUUCAAACACAUUGUACAAAAUAGUCAUAUUCCCAAAACAAUUUUGAUAGGUAGUCCACUCACUAGUAUAUUGUUGAGCCUUUAGAUGACUCCAAUUCCCCUAAUUGUCCAAAUGGGAUGAUGGGGCUUCCUUGAAACCUACCAUCACAUUAACAUCACCAUUAUGUUAAUUCACAUACUAUAAACCCUAAAAGCUAUCUCUUAGCUAGCCUUCAAUUGCCACUUUAAAUGGCUAUCUUUGUUCACUCUCUAAAUCACUAUAAAAUGAAUGAACAUCCUCAACAAUAAAACAGCUCAUAAUCCCAAUUACUAGCCAUUAUUCAUAGCUAAAAAUCAAGCUUAAUUCAUCACUUACCCUAGGGCUCCUUUGUAGUCAAAUUCUCUUCCAAUUGCUUUCAAAUCAAUGGGGUAAUUCUCUCUUUCUCUCUCUAGAACACCCAACUAGUGAGAGGAAGUAUGAAAAUAAGAUUUUUCAAGGGUUUUAAGGAGAGAGAGUGGAAGAAUACAAGGGUUCUAGUCAUGAGGGCUUAAAGGUAUGAAAACUAGAGCUAGAGAGAGAAAAUCAUGCAAGCUCCAUAUCAAGCUUCCAUGGAGGUUUUAAAGAAACGUGAGAGGGAAGAAGGAAGAAGAAGAC
Molecule: long non-coding RNA, 1292 nt
Filed under: Theobroma cacao (cacao)
Lineage: Eukaryota; Viridiplantae; Streptophyta; Magnoliopsida; Malvales; Malvaceae
Description: long non-coding RNA (TCAC_LNC005325)
Source: RNAcentral